This 76-nucleotide transfer RNA is filed under the name bacterium. RNAcentral describes it as "tRNA-Gly". It matches the Rfam family "tRNA". Rfam says of the family: Transfer RNA (tRNA) molecules are approximately 80 nucleotides in length. Their secondary structure includes four short double-helical elements and three loops (D, anti-codon, and T loops). RNAcentral also lists the same sequence under 2 other names. The record is from RNAcentral.
GCGGGAAUAGCUCAGUUGGUAGAGCAUCACCUUGCCAAGGUGAGGGUCGCGGGUUCGAGUCCCGUUUCCCGCUCCA